RNAcentral lists this ribosomal RNA (499 nucleotides) under uncultured Glomeromycotina. RNAcentral describes it as "partial small subunit ribosomal RNA". It matches the Rfam family "Eukaryotic small subunit ribosomal RNA", at positions 591 to 1092 of the family's 1831-position model. The record is from RNAcentral. Lineage: Eukaryota; Fungi; Glomeromycota.
CCAAUAGCGUAUAUUAAAGUUGCUGCAGUUAAAAAGCUCGUAGUUGAAUUUCGGGACCAAUAUGUCGGUCGUGCCUCGGUACGUACUGGCAUCGUUGGUUUCUCCCUUCUGACGAACCAUGAUGUCAUUUAUUUGGUGUCGUGGGGAAUCAGGACUGUUACUUUGAAAAAAUUAGAGUGUUUAAAGCAGGCUCACGCUUGAAUACAUUAGCAUGGAAUAAUGAAAUAGGACGUUUGAUUCUAUUUUGUUGGUUUCUAGGAUCGACGUAAUGAUUAAUAGGGAUAGUUGGGGGCAUUAGUAUUCAAUUGUCAGAGGUGAAAUUCUUGGAUUUAUUGAAGACUAACUACUGCGAAAGCAUUUGCCAAGGAUGUAUUCAUUAAUCAAGAACGAAAGUUAGGGGAUCGAAGACGAUCAGAUACCGUCGUAGUCUUAACCAUAAACUAUGCCGACUAGGGAUCGGAUGAUGUUAAUUUUUUAGUGACUCAUUCGGCGCCUUACG